Long non-coding RNA from Rattus norvegicus (Norway rat), 1027 nucleotides. RefSeq lists it as uncharacterized. Lineage: Eukaryota; Metazoa; Chordata; Mammalia; Rodentia; Muridae. The record is from RefSeq and is a predicted model, not a curated record.
CUUCCGCAGCCCGCUUCGGCAGCGGCUGGGACCUGGAACAAAGAGGCCCUGGUAGCCAAUGGCAGCGGGACAGCGCCGGGUAGUGGCCAAUCAGCGCGCGCCGCACGCACCUUCGCAGCCUGAGCGUGCAGCUAGCAAGAGGCAAAGAGAAGUCUUGGAGCUCCUUAGGCAUCCAAGGGAAGAGCACUGGGCCCUGGUUUCACUAUUGGUGAAGAUGUCCAUUUCUCAAACGCUUUUCUCCAGAGUCCUGAACACUGCCAAGGAAUCUUCUCUCACAUCCUCAAUGCCAACGAAGGCUACUACUACAUUGUUUUGUGAGCACUCAACACCAAAACAUGAGGCUCACAGGCACUACUGCAGAAGUAGGUGGUGUCCUUGUUUGGGAAACAGAGUUGCUUUGGUCCUACUAAGUGGAGUAAGGCGAGGCUGCUCUUGCUUCUUGUGUAGUCUAGUUUCAACCUCUGGUCUCACAGAAGCCUGGGCCACCAAGAACCCAAACUAUUCUUUCUUUCAGUAGCUAUUGCUAUUGGAUUAUCGGGGCCUGGAAGACCCUAGGGAUUCAUUUACUCACACAUCCUACAGGGAUCUGUAGGGUUUGGUACAGAGCUUGUGUCCCAGUAAAUUUUCCAGGAUGUGAAACUGAGGAAAAGAAGAUUUUGAUUUAGGUAAAUAAGCAUGUUCUUUUGGAGGAAAGAAGUUAAAUUAUCUGUCUCUCUGUGAGCACUUGUGAGAGCAGGUUUGCUUAGAGCCCAAAAUAGGUUGGAUCUUCAGGGGUUGGAGUUCCAGGCCACUGUGAGCCUCUUGACUUGGGAUUUGGGAACUGAAAUGAGGUCCUCUGCAAGAGCAGCAGGAGCUUUUAACAACAGACCCACCUCUCCAGCCUCAAGUAAUUUUCUUCUGUUCCUACAAUAUAGAAAAUGUUAAUGGCUAGGUAUCAGGUGUCCUCCUAGUCCCACAUCUACAUAUGCAUAUGUAUGUCUUACUAUAUGUGCACGUGAUAUUAAUAAUAAAAUUUCCAUAUAAUGCA